UGAUGCACGAUAUGUGACUACUCGCC
This 26-nucleotide non-coding RNA is filed under the name Homo sapiens (human). Lineage: Eukaryota; Metazoa; Chordata; Mammalia; Primates; Hominidae. The record is from RNAcentral.